This 72-nucleotide transfer RNA is filed under the name bacterium. RNAcentral describes it as "tRNA-Pro". It matches the Rfam family "tRNA". Rfam says of the family: Transfer RNA (tRNA) molecules are approximately 80 nucleotides in length. RNAcentral also lists the same sequence under 1 other name. The record is from RNAcentral.
CGGGGUGUAGCACAGUGGUAGUGCGCUGGCAUGGGGGGCCAGAGGUCCCGGGUUCGAUUCCCGGCGCCCCGA